GAUGAACGCUGGCGGCGUGCCUAAUACAUGCAAGUCGAGCGAACAGACGAGGAGCUUGCUCCUCUGACGUUAGCGGCGGACGGGUGAGUAACACGUGGAUAACCUACCUAUAAGACUGGGAUAACUUCGGGAAACCGGAGCUAAUACCGGAUAAUAUAUUGAACCGCAUGGUUCAAUAGUGAAAGACGGUUUUGCUGUCACUUAUAGAUGGAUCCGCGCCGCAUUAGCUAGUUGGUAAGGUAACGGCUUACCAAGGCGACGAUGCGUAGCCGACCUGAGAGGGUGAUCGGCCACACUGGAACUGAGACACGGUCCAGACUCCUACGGGAGGCAGCAGUAGGGAAUCUUCCGCAAUGGGCGAAAGCCUGACGGAGCAACGCCGCGUGAGUGAUGAAGGUCUUCGGAUCGUAAAACUCUGUUAUUAGGGAGGAACAAAUGUGUAAGUAACUAUGCACGUCUUGACGGUACCUAAUCAGAAAGCCACGGCUAACUACGUG
Molecule: ribosomal RNA, 497 nt
Filed under: uncultured bacterium
Lineage: Bacteria
Description: partial 16S ribosomal RNA
Rfam family: Bacterial small subunit ribosomal RNA
Source: RNAcentral